GUUAGUCUUGCAUAGAGUUAAGACCUUGAUAAAAUGUGGCCCCAUAAAUCACAUUUCUGAAGAAAUGAAUAGAGUACUUUGAUGAUAGCAUGGUCCAAUGAACAUUUUAGCAUAGAGCUUUAAUUCAUGAUACCAGUAGAGAUGGAGUCACCUAUGGAUUUGAUUUUUAUCACCCUUUUCUAAUUAAAUUUACAUUAACAUUCAGGUUCUUGAAUGAUACAGCAGCAUUCUUAGCUUCGGGUGAUGGAAUGAAAAGGUAAACAUUCAGCAUUUUAAAUAAAAUUUUCUGAUGCACACCCAACCCCUGCUUUCAGGAAAAAAGCAUGUACAUCAUAGUACAUAUGAAAUUUCUAACCUCAUAACACUCCCAACCCCUUUAACUCCACCUAGCAAAGAAAUCCUAGACUGAAACCAUCUCUUGGAGAUAAACCUGAAUCAUGAUAUUGUACAACCACAAGCUCUAUGCUAAGAACAUGAUAGCUUACAAACAUGCCAUGUCAAUAACUAGAUUUCUCCAAUUCAUUCUACCACGACAGAGGCUCAGGGCAAUCAAUCAAGCAAAGACAACAAAGCUUCUGCAUAUCUUCCCACAUUUGAACCCCAUCUUCCCAAAGAUAAUGGCUCUUAGUGUUAAGUGCUCGUGUUUGUACUCAUCCCACAUCCGAACCUCAUCUUCC
RNAcentral lists this long non-coding RNA (677 nucleotides) under Setaria viridis. Its description in RNAcentral is "long non-coding RNA (SVIR_LNC004143)". The record is from RNAcentral. Lineage: Eukaryota; Viridiplantae; Streptophyta; Magnoliopsida; Poales; Poaceae.